CACACUGUGUUUCAAAAAGCAAAGACGUCUAAUUAUGUAGCCGGUGGGUAGUUUCUGCCAGUGAACAUACAAUUAUUCUUUUCGUAGUCGUGAGUAAGAUCUUUCCAAACAGGGUCACACACAAGCAAGUUUCUAUUACCAGGAAUAUAAAUAGUUAAACCAUAACUUUCGUGAAAACAUUAUUUUUAUUAUGAAUCAAAAACAACUUACACAACUUAAAUUCAGUGUGAAUAAAUUGAUUCAAAAACAUCUUAUAUGUGCUAAUGUAAAUAUGAUACUCCUUACACUUAAGAUAUAGAAUAUGCUAUCAAUUAGUAUCUUAAAAAUUAGUCCAAAUCUUAUAAAUCAAUUAAAUCUUAACCGCGUGCUCAGUAUCUGAUAAAUAGUUUGACCAUUGGUGCCAUUUGGUUAUCUUUUGGUAAAUUUGCUCUCAUGAAAAAGGAUUCACCUUAUUAUAAGCCCAACGGUCUUUGUC
This 475-nucleotide long non-coding RNA is filed under the name Mytilus galloprovincialis (Mediterranean mussel). The record is from RNAcentral. Lineage: Eukaryota; Metazoa; Mollusca; Bivalvia; Mytilida; Mytilidae.